AGCAGAGUGGCGCAGUGGAAGCGUGCUGGGCCCAUAACCCAGAGGUCCGUGGUUUGAAACCAUGCUCUGCUA
RNAcentral lists this transfer RNA (72 nucleotides) under Trichonephila clavata. It matches the Rfam family "tRNA". From Rfam's summary of the family: Transfer RNA (tRNA) molecules are approximately 80 nucleotides in length. Their secondary structure includes four short double-helical elements and three loops (D, anti-codon, and T loops). The record is from Rfam by way of RNAcentral. Lineage: Eukaryota; Metazoa; Arthropoda; Arachnida; Araneae; Nephilidae.